Molecule: ribosomal RNA, 857 nt
Filed under: Xylodon niemelaei
Lineage: Eukaryota; Fungi; Basidiomycota; Agaricomycetes; Hymenochaetales; Schizoporaceae
Description: partial large subunit ribosomal RNA
Rfam family: Eukaryotic large subunit ribosomal RNA
Source: RNAcentral
UAACAGGAUUCCCCUAGUAACUGCGAGUGAAGCGGGAAAAGCUCAAAUUUAAAAUCUGGCAGUCUCACUGUCCGAGUUGUAAUCUGGAGAAGCAUUUUCUGUGCUAGACCGUGUACAAGUCUCUUGGAAUAGAGCGUCAUAGAGGGUGAGAAUCCCGUCCAUGACACGGAUUACUAGUGCUUUGUGAUAUGCUCUCGAAGAGUCGAGUUGUUUGGGAAUGCAGCUCAAAAUGGGUGGUAAAUUCCAUCUAAAGCUAAAUAUUGGCGAGAGACCGAUAGCGAACAAGUACCGUGAGGGAAAGAUGAAAAGCACUUUGGAAAGAGAGUUAAACAGUACGUGAAAUUGUUGAAAGGGAAACGCUUGAAGUCAGUCGCGUUGUCUGAGACUCAGCCUUGCUUGCAUGGUGUACUUCUCAGUUAACGGGUCAACAUCAAUUUCAGUUGGUGGAUAAAGGCAUUGGGAAUGUGGCACCUUCGGGUGUGUUAUAGCCCUUUGUUGCAUACACUGACCGGGAUUGAGGAACGCAGCACGCCACUAAGGCCAGGGGUUCGCCCCAUGUAACGUGCUUAGGAUGUUGGCAUAAUGGCUUUAAGCGACCCGUCUUGAAACACGGACCAAGGAGUCUAACAUGCCUGCGAGUAUUAGGGUGGAAAACCCUUGUGCGUAAUGAAAGUGAAAGUUGGGACCUCUUUGAGGGCACCGACGCCUGGCCCUGAAGUUUACUGACGGCGCUACGGUAGAGCAUGUAUGUUGGGACCCGAAAGAUGGUGAACUAUGCCUGAAUAGGGUGAAGCCAGGGGAAACUCUGGUGGAGGCUCGUAGCGAUUCUGACGUGCAAAUCGAUCGUCAAAUUUGGG